Molecule: ribosomal RNA, 254 nt
Filed under: uncultured bacterium
Lineage: Bacteria
Description: partial 16S ribosomal RNA
Rfam family: Bacterial small subunit ribosomal RNA
Source: RNAcentral
UACGUAGGGUGCAAGCGUUAAUCGGAAUUACUGGGCGUAAAGCGUGCGCAGGCGGCUUUGCAAGACAGAUGUGAAAUCCCCGGGCUCAACCUGGGAACUGCAUUUGUGACUGCAAGGCUAGAGUACGGUAGAGGGGGAUGGAAUUCCGCGUGUAGCAGUGAAAUGCGUAGAUAUGCGGAGGAACACCGAUGGCGAAGGCAAUCCCCUGGACCUGUACUGACGCUCAUGCACGAAAGCGUGGGGAGCAAACGAGG